CAAAAUCACUAGGGGUGCCUUUGGAGAAAGGCUGAGAUUAAAGUGACACUUUAAAACCCUUUGAACCUGAUCUGGGUCAAUACCAGCGUAGGGAAGUGAUGGGAGAAACGU
This 111-nucleotide non-coding RNA is filed under the name Novibacillus thermophilus. RNAcentral's name for it is "TPP sequence". It matches the Rfam family "TPP riboswitch aptamer (THI element)". Rfam says of the family: Vitamin B(1) in its active form thiamin pyrophosphate (TPP) is an essential coenzyme that is synthesised by coupling of pyrimidine and thiazole moieties in bacteria. The previously detected thiamin-regulatory element, thi box was extended, resulting in a new, highly conserved RNA secondary structure, the THI element, which is widely distributed in eubacteria and also occurs in some archaea. Analysis of operon structures identified a large number of new candidate thiamin-regulated genes, mostly transporters, in various prokaryotic organisms. The record is from Rfam by way of RNAcentral. Lineage: Bacteria; Bacillati; Bacillota; Bacilli; Caryophanales; Thermoactinomycetaceae.